UACCGGCGGCCCGAGUGGCGGCCGUGUUUAUUGGGCCUAAAGGGUCCGUAGCCGGCCCCGUAAGUCUCCCGGGAAAUCGGGCGGCUCAACCGUCCGCUUCCGGGAGAUACUGCGGGGCUAGGGACCGGGAGAGGCCGGGGGUACUCCCGGGGUAGGGGUAAAAUCCUAUAAUCCCGGGGGGACCACCUGUGGCGAAGGCGCCCGGCUGGAACGGGUCCGACGGUGAGGGACGAAGGCCGGGGGAGCAAACAGG
Molecule: ribosomal RNA, 253 nt
Filed under: uncultured microorganism
Description: partial 16S ribosomal RNA
Rfam family: Archaeal small subunit ribosomal RNA
Source: RNAcentral